Cynoglossus semilaevis (tongue sole) is the source of this 722-nucleotide long non-coding RNA. RefSeq lists it as uncharacterized. Lineage: Eukaryota; Metazoa; Chordata; Actinopteri; Pleuronectiformes; Cynoglossidae. The record is from RefSeq and is a predicted model, not a curated record. The transcript has 2 exons.
AAAGAAAACAGUAUUUUAUGAAAAAUUAUGAUUAAAACAACAUUACAUUGUCAGGUUAAUUGACCAGAUCUUUCAACGGUUGAUGUUGAUAUCUGUAAAAUAACUGCUUAUGGUUGGUCAACAAAUCAAUGACUAAUCAUUAGUUACUCAAUUUACUGCUAAUAAUCAGAAAACAUUUUAUAUGGUAAAUAUAUGGUAUUUGAAGAAAACUGGUACUCCACAACAACAAAACCUAAUGGGCUAUAAAAUAUGUUAAAAGAAGCUGGCGCUCUCCUGGACAAUUAGUUGUUUCAAUUGUUUCAAUUCAGUUUUAAUUUUACUAAAAAAAUGACUUAAUGUUUUUUAUCUGUUUGUCUGUUAUUUUGGGGUUGUUGUUUUUUAGGUUUUCACAGUGGACCGUGUGCCCUUGCCUUGUUUUUUCUCUUGAAUGCUUCUCCUUUUUUUUUUUUUUUUUUUUUUUACAAACAAGCCUUGUGACCUUUUGCUAACUGCCUCCUCUUUUUCUCCACUGUCCAUGGGUUCGGUUCACACGCCCCAAUGUUUGAAUUUCACAGCCCACCCACAAACUCUUCCACUUCUUAUAGUCUAAGCAUUACAGUACUUCACUCAGAUAAACAAACAUACAAUAUACUAUGUGAAAUAACGACAACAUUAACGCUUUUAACGUGCUCAUUCAAUUCCUACCUGUGAGAGACGACUGACAUUCCGCCGCUCUUUGGAAA